This 1343-nucleotide ribosomal RNA is filed under the name uncultured bacterium. RNAcentral describes it as "16S ribosomal RNA". It matches the Rfam family "Bacterial small subunit ribosomal RNA", at positions 28 to 1378 of the family's 1533-position model. The record is from RNAcentral.
GACGAACGCUGGCGGCGUGCUUAACACAUGCAAGUCGAACGGAAAGGCCCUGCUUUUGUGGGGUGCUCGAGUGGCGAACGGGUGAGUAACACGUGAGUAACCUGCCCUUGACUUUGGGAUAACUUCAGGAAACUGGGGCUAAUACCGGAUAGGAGCUCCUGCUGCAUGGUGGGGGUUGGAAAGUUUCGGCGGUUGGGGAUGGACUCGCGGCUUAUCAGCUUGUUGGUGGGGUAGUGGCUUACCAAGGCUUUGACGGGUAGCCGGCCUGAGAGGGUGACCGGCCACAUUGGGACUGAGAUACGGCCCAGACUCCUACGGGAGGCAGCAGUGGGGAAUAUUGCACAAUGGGCGGAAGCCUGAUGCAGCAACGCCGCGUGCGGGAUGACGGCCUUCGGGUUGUAAACCGCUUUCGCCUGUGACGAAGCGUGAGUGACGGUAAUGGGUAAAGAAGCACCGGCUAACUACGUGCCAGCAGCCGCGGUGAUACGUAGGGUGCGAGCGUUGUCCGGAUUUAUUGGGCGUAAAGGGCUCGUAGGUGGUUGAUCGCGUCGGAAGUGUAAUCUUGGGGCUUAACCCUGAGCGUGCUUUCGAUACGGGUUGACUUGAGGAAGGUAGGAGAGAAUGGAAUUCCUGGUGGAGCGGUGGAAUGCGCAGAUAUCAGGAGGAACACCAGUGGCGAAGGCGGUUCUCUGGGCCUUUCCUGACGCUGAGGAGCGAAAGCGUGGGGAGCGAACAGGCUUAGAUACCCUGGUAGUCCACGCUGUAAACGGUGGGUACUAGGUGUGGGGUCCAUUCCACGGGUUCCGUGCCGUAGCUAACGCUUUAAGUACCCCGCCUGGGGAGUACGGCCGCAAGGCUAAAACUCAAAGGAAUUGACGGGGCCCCGCACAAGCGGCGGAGCAUGCGGAUUAAUUCGAUGCAACGCGUAGAACCUUACCUGGGUUUGACAUGGAUCGGGAGUGCUCAGAGAUGGGUGUGCCUCUUUUGGGGUCGGUUCACAGGUGGUGCAUGCCUGUCGUCAGCUCGUGUCGUGAGAUGUUGGGUUAAGUCCCGCAACGAGCGCAACCCUUGUUCACUGUUGCCAGCACGUUAUGGUGGGGACUCAGUGGAGACCGCCGGGGUCAACUCGGAGGAAGGUGGGGAUGACGUCAAGUCAUCAUGCCCCUUAUGUCCAGGGCUUCACGCAUGCUACAAUGGCUGGUACAGAGAGUGGCGAGCCUGUGAGGGUGAGCGAAUCUCGGAAAGCCGGUCUCAGUUCGGAUUGGGGUCUGCAACUCGACCUCAUGAAGUCGGAGUCGCUAGUAAUCGCAGAUCAGCAACGCUGCGGUGAAUACGUUCCCGGG